Molecule: long non-coding RNA, 571 nt
Organism: Varanus komodoensis (Komodo dragon)
Lineage: Eukaryota; Metazoa; Chordata; Lepidosauria; Squamata; Varanidae
Exons: 2
Source: RefSeq, a predicted model, not a curated record
GACGGUCCGCCUCAGAGGGCCCCGGGAAGAGUCUCACGUGAAGGCCACGUCUCGUUUGCAGCUGGGGUUGACUGCUCCAGGGCCCCGAGGACACCGACCGGGCACUUGAUCUCCCAGAACGUUCAUCAGAGAAACGACGAGCAUCAGACCGUGAUCGACGGCGUGUUCUCUGCUGGAGGUGGAGAGCGGCAGACAGACCGAUUCACGCAGAGGAGAUGCUGGCAGUCCCGUCAUUCGUGAGGCCGAUGCCAGGAAGGAGCUGCGUGGGACCGUCAGCGGGGCGCUAGCCGUGCCGAGAAGGAGAAACCCGCAGUCUAAACGGGGGUGCCUCGGGUCGCAUCGCACCUGAAUGGAGUCCGAGACAGGACCCACCGCCCUCCUGGAUGAACGCGGGGACUUCCUUUGCAGCCUGCUGAGCGACUCGUUGAAAGCGAGCAAAUGAACGUCACAGUGUGAAGCCUGCUCUGGAGCUGAUUUUUCCUCGGUGGUUAUUUUUGCAGCUUCUCAUGUCGUUUUGCCCGAGGCAGGAAUCUUCAGCCCUCACUGAAAUAAACCUUGUCCCACUGAAAAA